Molecule: non-coding RNA, 31 nt
Filed under: Mus musculus (house mouse)
Lineage: Eukaryota; Metazoa; Chordata; Mammalia; Rodentia; Muridae
Source: RNAcentral
UGGUGACUUCCGGAAAGCCUUGGACAGGGGU